RNAcentral lists this ribosomal RNA (468 nucleotides) under uncultured bacterium. RNAcentral's name for it is "partial 16S ribosomal RNA". It matches the Rfam family "Bacterial small subunit ribosomal RNA", at positions 28 to 507 of the family's 1533-position model. The record is from RNAcentral.
GAUGAACGCUGACAGAAUGCUUAACACAUGCAAGUCUACUUGAAUUUGGGUUUUUUCACUUAGAUUUGGGUGGCGGACGGGUGAGUAACGCGUAAAGAACUUGCCUCACAGUUAGGGACAACAUUUGGAAACGAAUGCUAAUACCUGAUAUUAUGAAUAUAUGGCAUCAUAUAAUUAUGAAAGCUAUAAGCGCUGUGAGAGAGCUUUGCGUCCCAUUAGCUAGUUGGAGAGGUAACGGCUCACCAAGGCGAUGAUGGGUAGCCGGCCUGAGAGGGUGAACGGCCACAAGGGGACUGAGACACGGCCCUUACUCCUACGGGAGGCAGCAGUGGGGAAUAUGGGACAAUGGACCAAGAGUCUGAUCCAGCAAUUCUGUGUGCACGAUGACGUUUUUCGGAAUGUAAAGUGCUUUCAGUUGGGAAGAAAAAAAUGACGGUACCAACAGAAGAAGUGACGGCUAAAUACGUG